GACGAACGCUGGCGGCGUGCUUAACACAUGCAAGUCGAACGGUGAAGGGACCGGUUUUUGCUGGUUCUGGAUGAGUGGCGAACGGGUGAGUAACACGUGAGUAACCUGCCCCCUUCUUCUGGAUAACCGCAUGAAAGUGUGGCUAAUACGGGAUAUUCUGCGCCUGCUGCAUGGUGGGUGUGGGAAAGAUAUUGUUUCGGUGGGGGAUGGGCUCGCGGCCUAUCAGCUUGUUGGUGGGGUGAUGGCCUACCAAGGCGGUGACGGGUAGCCGGCCUGAGAGGGUGGACGGUCACACUGGGACUGAGACACGGCCCAGACUCCUACGGGAGGCAGCAGUGGGGAAUAUUGCACAAUGGGCGCAAGCCUGAUGCAGCGACGCCGCGUGAGGGAUGGAGGCCUUCGGGUUGUAAACCUCUUUCGCCAGUAAAGCAGGCCUGUCCCUUUUGUGGGUGGGUUGACGGUAGCUGGAGAAGAAGCGCCGGCUAACUACGUG
Molecule: ribosomal RNA, 493 nt
Filed under: uncultured bacterium
Lineage: Bacteria
Description: partial 16S ribosomal RNA
Rfam family: Bacterial small subunit ribosomal RNA
Source: RNAcentral